RNAcentral lists this small RNA (107 nucleotides) under Marmota monax (woodchuck). The record is from RNAcentral. Lineage: Eukaryota; Metazoa; Chordata; Mammalia; Rodentia; Sciuridae.
GCCAGGCAUGGUGGUGCAUGCCUGUAAUCCCAGUGGCUCAGGAUGCUGAGUUUGGAGGAUUGUGAGUUCAAGGUCAGUCUCAGCAACUUAACAAGACCCUGUCUCUA